This 87-nucleotide transfer RNA is filed under the name Gammaproteobacteria bacterium. RNAcentral's name for it is "tRNA-Leu". It matches the Rfam family "tRNA". From Rfam's summary of the family: Transfer RNA (tRNA) molecules are approximately 80 nucleotides in length. Their secondary structure includes four short double-helical elements and three loops (D, anti-codon, and T loops). Further hydrogen bonds mediate the characteristic L-shaped molecular structure. tRNAs have two regions of fundamental functional importance: the anti-codon, which is responsible for specific mRNA codon recognition, and the 3' end, to which the tRNAs corresponding amino acid is attached (by aminoacyl-tRNA synthetases). tRNAs cope with the degeneracy of the genetic code in two manners: having more than one tRNA (with a specific anti-codon) for a particular amino acid; and 'wobble' base-pairing, i.e. permitting non-standard base-pairing at the 3rd anti-codon position. Lineage: Bacteria; Pseudomonadati; Pseudomonadota; Gammaproteobacteria. The record is from RNAcentral.
GCCGGGAUGGCGGAACUGGUAGACGCGCCAGACUCAAAAUCUGGUGAGGGAAACCUCGUGAGAGUUCGAGUCUCUCUCCCGGCACCA